Molecule: microRNA precursor, 193 nt
Filed under: Oryza glumipatula
Lineage: Eukaryota; Viridiplantae; Streptophyta; Magnoliopsida; Poales; Poaceae
Description: MIR812 microRNA precursor family
Rfam family: MIR812 microRNA precursor family
Source: Rfam by way of RNAcentral
AAAAAAUGCAAAUCAUGGGUUCCCGUGCCAACAUUUGACUGUCCGUCUUAUAUGAAAUUUUUUUAUAAUUAGUAUUUUCAUUGUUGUUAGAUGAUAAAACAUGAUUAAUACUUUAUACGUGACUUAUCUUUUUAAUUUUUUUCAUAAUUUUUUUAAAUAAGACGAAGGGAUUGUCUUUUUUUGGGUCGGAGGG